AUGCUGUAUCUGAGUAGUGUCCACAUUGUAACACUGCUCAUGUCUCUUCAGGACCUCUCUGUAGAGGGUCUCUCGGUCGCCUCAGGAACAAGUGUGUCCGAAGCUUUAUCAAAACCUGUGGGCACAGUCAGAACACAGUCUCUGUGUGAAAGCAUGGAGCUCAUGGGACAGAGGGGGCUUGCAUGGAGGGGGGAUGACAGCCACCCAGAGGGGCUGAAGACACACAUCAGAGACACACACACACACCCAGGGGGCUCACCUGCUGCACAUAUACUCACAGAGGAUGUACAGACACUCACUGAGGUCACAGUGGACACAAGUGUCCCCAAAGACAUCCAGACAGUAACUCCAGUCAUUUUACCAACGAUGAGGCUGUCAAAGGUGGAUAGUAGGCUGGUGUUAUCUGAGGCAGAGCAGGCCUGUCUGGUUCAGCCACCCUCUGAGAAGGCUCUGGUUGUUCCAGAGCAGAGGCCCACAGUGCCCCAGCCAAUGCCCAGAAAGAAAAAAAGCGCACCUCAGACAGGGUUGCUCACGGCACCAUCCCAGCCUAUAGAAAUGGCACUCAAUGUAUCCACUGGACAGACACACACAGCCUCUGACCUCACACACCAGACACCUGUGCAAGUUGAGGCAUCUACCCCUCUAGCAGCACCUGAGGAGACACCCACCACCACCACCACCACCACCACCACCACCACCCUGUGCGUGGUCAGCACACACACUGUCCCCCAGACCACACUCAAACCCACCGGAGAGGACAUGGAGGGUGUGCAUCCAGCAGCAACCCUGGUAAGCACUGAAACGUCCCAGUACAAUACAGGCCCAACAGUCCUAACCCCUGCUAACCAUGCAACCACAGUGGUCUACGAGUGCACACACGAGUGGGUCUUAAACGAUGUUUCACAAAGACCUGGGUUCAAAUACUUUCUGAAAUUGUUUCAAGCACUUUACCUGUGCUUGAUUGAACUUGCCUGCUUAAUGGAACCAAUAGAAUGGUCCCAAAACUGCAAAACCACACCCAUCUGUCACUACAGGCAGAAUAAAGCAAACCUUCAAAGUAUUUGAAGUAUUUCAAAGAGUAUUUGUACCCAGGUCUGUUCACAACUGUAGUGUCACAUUAAUGGAAUGGGUUUACACAGUAAUGAUGCUGAUAAUUAUCGUAAUGAUGCACAUUUGUGAAUGAUUUCAAUAAUCCCUGUUGAGUGAUUCGUUUGAUGUAAAGUAAAGACUGUAAUGUACAGCAGUGUAGAGGGCUUGAGUGACUCAUGGUGCUAACCAUGGUGUUACAUCUUAUUCUCACACUCUCACACUGUCUGUGCCUCAAACAUCUAUAUGUGCAUAUGUGCUGACAGGAGAGAAACGGGAGAACAAAUUUAAAAGAACUGGCAUAACAGAAGAAAGAGGAAACAACAGCAGAUAGUACAUCAGAGAGAAAGAUAAAUGAUUGAAGGAGCGAAUAAGGAGGUUUGCCGAUUCAGUUGACUGAUCUGCCAGUAGAUCCACCUCCUCUGUCUCAGCCCCGCCCCCGUGGCCUGGGGCCUUUAACUGGGUGUGUGAUAAUGAGUCCCUGUCACCGGAGCUCCCUCUGAGCCUACCUGCCACCAGGAAGUGGCUUUGACCACAGAUGGGUGGGGCACCAUGGGUGAAAGAAAGAGAGAACUAGAGGCAGAGGCAGUCUGGGAGAGAGAGAGAAACAGACAGAGAAAAGAAAGAGAGAGACCCGAAAGACAGAGAAAAAGAAAGAGGGAGAGAGACAGACAGACAGAGAAAAAGAAAGAGGGAGAGAGACAGACAGGCAGACAGACAGACAGACAGAGAAAAAGAAAGAGACGGAGAAAGAGAGAGAGAGACAGAGAAAUAGUGAGGAGAAAAAAGAGAGAAAAAGAAAGAGAAUGGGGUGGUGUGAGAAGUAGAUUUUUAAGUGCCGAAAUCCCCAGGACAGUCAGCUGUAGCCUGAGUACUCACCGGCCAGUGCCUGUCAGUUACUGUCAGUGUAUACUAGUAUUAGUUAAGAAUGUCAUCCACUCCCUCUCCUCCUAUCUGCUGUCCCUACUAGCUGAUUGUGAGGGGGAGGUGAUUGGUACAGGAGGAAUCUCAGUGGCUGUGUGUCUGUGUCCCAGGCCCCAGGGGUGUUCCCAGCCCCAGCCUUGACUGGGCCCUGCCCCACUCUGGAGGUGCUUUAUGCCUACAGUGAGCAGGCCACCCAGCUAGAGGUUUGGCUGGAGAGAGCCCAGCACACCCUUGGAGUGCUGGAGCGGGCCGCCACUGCCAGCAUGCAGGACAGUGUGGAGCAGCAGCUCCUCACGUGCCAGGUAAGAACUGCAGACGGGUGUCAAAGUUCAGCUCUGUGGAGGGCCUGCCGAGUGGGGCUUUAUCCAGGAACUUCCCCAGGCAUGGUAGUUAAUAGCAAGGAUAUAAGAGACGCCUCAGUAUCAUAAACUUGUGUGUAUUCGUCUUAUCGGUUUGCUCAUGCUUUUCUUUAGCACAUGAGAGGGAUUCGGUAUCUACUUACAACCACAAAUAGCGGCGUCAUAUUAAUGAUGUACAUCACUGUCAGUCGUUCUGAUGUCAUGCCAGUCAUCUGCUUUGACUAUUAGGUUUAUUUCCUUAACAACCUCUAAUUUAUUAACCUGCCUUGUCCAUAGUUGAAAGUCUUUCUAAAUCACCAGUGAUCAAGGUUCAUCAACAGUCAUUUUCCUGCUUUUAGCUGCUUUGCCUACUGCUGCAGGUGGGAGUUGUUUUUUUUCAUUCAGUCUUAGUAAACACCACCGGUUGUUGGAUAGAUAGUGCUGCUGUUUCACAGGCAGAUAGGUUAGUGUUUGAAAUGAGGCAAGGUUGAACAAACAGUGAAGUCCAGCUAAUGUGUUGCUGGUAUUUGUCUUCAGGGUGCAGUGUAUUUUCUAAAGGUGCUGGCCACAUGGCCACGAUCAGUUGUACUAGAUAGGCUUUUGUCAAGUGCACUAACUGUUCUGAUUUGCAGGGAAUUACUCCAAAUGGCUAUUUGUAAAUGGAAUUAGCUAAUAGCUUUACAGUCUCAUUUCCUUGCAUGACCUUAGACAUGCUAAACAAAGACAUGCAGCAAUGAAGCAUUAGUUAUGAUUGCUGUGGU
Oncorhynchus kisutch (coho salmon) is the source of this 3109-nucleotide long non-coding RNA. Lineage: Eukaryota; Metazoa; Chordata; Actinopteri; Salmoniformes; Salmonidae. The record is from Ensembl.